RNAcentral lists this ribosomal RNA (253 nucleotides) under uncultured bacterium. Its description in RNAcentral is "partial 16S ribosomal RNA". It matches the Rfam family "Bacterial small subunit ribosomal RNA", at positions 524 to 776 of the family's 1533-position model. The record is from RNAcentral.
UACAGAGGGGGCAAGCGUUGUUCGGAAUUACUGGGCGUAAAGGGCGCGUAGGCGGCCUUCUAAGUCGAACGUGAAAUCCCUGGGCUCAACCCAGGAACUGCGUCCGAUACUGGGAGGCUUGAAUCUGGGAGAGGGAUGUGGAAUUCCAGGUGUAGCGGUGAAAUGCGUAGAUAUCUGGAGGAACACCGGUGGCGAAGGCGGCAUCCUGGACCGGUAUUGACGCUGAUGCGCGAAAGCCAGGGGAGCAAACGGG